RNAcentral lists this non-coding RNA (22 nucleotides) under Rattus norvegicus (Norway rat). Lineage: Eukaryota; Metazoa; Chordata; Mammalia; Rodentia; Muridae. The record is from RNAcentral.
GCUUGAUUUUGUUUUUUAAUUU